GGUUGAUUAGGUGGCUUCAGAACAGCACUCGCUUAAUAACAACAUUCCUAGUUUUGGAUGAGGAAGUUAGAAAUUGUUACAUACAUUUUCGUUUUCUUUCAAUGUAUUACUAUAAACUUUGUAUGAAAAUAAAAUCUUUAAACGAAUCGACCGCUGUUGACGCCCACGCAGAAAUCCCAGGAAGUAUAAUCGAGCGCAGAAAGCCGCGUUUCGAUGGAGUAUGGCGCUCUCCAGAGGCUUGAGAUGCUGUCAAAAGGUUUUCUCGUGGAUACCUGUUCUUAUUAUUGCUUCCGUGGUGCUGUGGUCGUAUUACGCUUACGUAUUUCAGCUAUGCCUAUUCACACUGUCGAACUCACUGGAAAAGGUGUCCUAUUUAUUGGUAUUCCAUGUUUGCUUUGGAAUGUUUUCCUGGACCUACUGGAAGUCCAUUUUUACCCCAGUUGCAUCACCAUGCAAGAAGUUUCAGCUGUCUUACUCCGACAAGGAAAGGUACGAGAUGGAGGAGAGACCAGAUGCACAGAAACAAAUCUUGGUCGAUAUUGCCAAGAAGCUACCCAUCUACACUCGAGCACAGUCUGGAGCUAUCAGGUUCUGCGACCGCUGCCAGGUGUUGAAGCCUGACCGCUGUCACCACUGCUCAGUCUGUGAAACAUGCGUUUUGAAAAUGGACCAUCACUGCCCCUGGGUGAACAACUGUGUCGGCUUUUCCAACUACAAGUUUUUCCUGCUUUUCCUCUCUUAUUCAAUGUUAUACUGCAUAUACAUUGCUGCCACAGUCUUUCAGUACUUCAUAAAAUUCUGGGUGGGGGACUUGCCAAACGGACCAGCAAAGUUCCAUGUCCUUUUCCUCAUGUUUGUGGCACUCAUGUUUUUUGUUAGUCUCAUGUUCCUCUUCAGUUAUCACUGUUGGUUGGUUGCCAAAAACAGAUCCACUUUAGGUCACCUUUUCCAGAGGCCUUUUCAGUUCCAGUUUUUGUCAGCGGACCGGACAGACACGGUUUCAAUGUUGGCCUACGCAAAAAUCUGCAGCAAGUAUUCGGCAAAGACAGGAAACUUUGGUUCAUCCCUGUUUUCACAAGCCAAGGAAAUGGACAUUUUUUUCCUUUGAAGAAUCGGAGCGAGUGUCAGAACCCCUUACUGGCAAACGGCGAGAUGUGGGAGGAGUCAGAUGACGCUUCUGAGGAAGGAAGCUGGGGUGAGGAUCAAGACCCUUCUGUAACCGUAGAGAUGGAGGACUAAACAAUUGACACUGAUGUAGAAGUUCAAGAGACUGAAGGGGAGAGAACAUACAAUCAAAGGUGGAUGCUCUCCAACACCUCCACAUGGGCCUAAAUUGUGGAUCACAAUGGUGUUUGGGUGUUAUUCCCCUCUUAUAUAGACGUGAACAACAGGAUGACCAUCAGAGGGGGGUCCCGCGGCCGUGCAAGAAUUACCUGCAUUUUCAUGUGAUUAUUCUAACGUGUGCUUUUGCAAAGGCGUCACUCAAAGUAACCUGUUCGGAAUUACUUCUGGUGACGGAUUCAUUUUACAGGAAGUCUUGCAACCUAGUAGCACAUCUUAUUCAUGUCCACUUACUUAACCUGAGCCUUACACAUAAUGUCUAUUGUCUUGUGUCGUGGGGAUCCGUUUUCCAAAUGAAUGUAUCCAGCAGCUUUUAGGUACAAAUCUUGAAUGGGUACGUUCAUAGUUUUUCAUCAUAACCAUGUGGGGCCAGAAUAGAACAGUAAACAAACAGGAAUCAUAUUUCCCAAAAAUGUAACGUAAGCACUUAAUAUAAUGCUCAUCAGAAUCCUAUCCUCACUGUUUGCAAAACCUAGCCUCAAAUAGUCAUCGUGUUGAUAAGCCAAUGACUUUAACAACCAUUAGGCUGCAACCAAGUGGUUGGCACGACUGUCUCACAGCGCCAAGGAUCUGCAUUUGAGUCUCUUUUGGCCUUUCUGUGUGAUGUAUGCAUGUUUUGCCUGUGCAUGCACUUUUGUUUAUACAAUGUUUGUUAUUUGAAGACAAGAUUGUCCAAAUGUGUAAAUGUAUGAAUGUGUCUUGACCAAGUGUAGACAGACUCGUGCUCUGUCAACUGAUUGGCCACUGAGUACAAAUCUGAGUAGAUGUAGCCAAGAUCGUGAUGUUCUGCCAUGCAUUUCGUUACGUGACUUAAUAGAGGACAGUUAGUUACUUUCAGCUGCAUACAAUGCAUUACAAAGUAAAAAAGUGCGAAUGUAGCGCAGUUGCACAUUCCGUUCCUAGAGUAACACCGAAGUCACAAUGCUUCCGAACCCAACAUCAACAGAUCUAGUGCUGCCCUCCCAAAGUCUGUUGUUCAAAUAAAUGCCUCAGAGAAACCUUGUAAUUAUUGGAGGUGAGCAUAUCAACAUUCCAAGAUAUGAGGAAAUGCAGUAUAUUCUAUGUAUUAUGUUUGCUAGUUGAAAAACGCAUGACAAUAUUCACUAAAAUGGUCAGAAUGGACCUCAUCAGCACUGAGAUUUUUGAUACUUAUGUAGGAUAAAAACAUGGUUAAUAGGCAAAGGUUCUUGCUUAAGUAGUUUCAUUGUAAUUCAAUGUAAACGGAAAGCAGGUCUUUACUCAUUGGCUGCCAUUGACGGCAAUAGAUGUCAAAUCCAUUUGAAAUGGAUUGGACGUCUACUAGUGACUAACUAAAUUCAGAGCAGAAAGAUGAAACAUGAUUGAACAUCUAUCAUCGCCAGUGGCACUGGAAGAGUUAUGAGAUUUUUGUAUUGUUUUGUAUCCGUGUUUUUUUUUUUUUAAACACAUUUGAUGCAAUUGUUUUGAGACCAAACAAACAUUUGUGGUAACAAUUUAUUGACAAUGAAGGUGACACUUGAAUGGAACCCGGAUUCGUUUCACUUCACUAACACUUGUCAUUAUAACAGGACAUUUUUACUUUGUUGGACCAACCAAAUAUCUUUGUCAGAAAACACUCCCAUAUCAUUUUUUAAUUUCCCAUUUAUACUGUGUAUGUUUAAUGUUUGUGCACGUAGAAACCUUCAGAAAAUGUUCAUGAUGCUUAUUUAUUGCUAAAAUGAAAAUGAGACAUAGCUGCUGCAGGAUAUUGUCUAUAUUUUGCCCCAUUAUGUGACAUGUAUAGUUAUAUCAAAUAUCUCAUUGAUGCGUAUUUUAUGUAUCAGAAACCUGGAUGUCUAACAAUUUUUUUUUUUUUUUUUCUUUAACCACGAGGCAGUAUUUACAAAAUCUCAUGGUUCAGUUGAAGGUGGUCUUUGGUGUAUUGUAUGUAAUUGUGUUGUUUCUGUCAAUUGUCAGUUAUUUUCCAUUUGGUGUUCUUUCUGUUACAAAUAUAAAUUUAUUUAAUCACCACUGGUAGCAGCCACAAUAAAAUGAUCUUGAUAUGGCUCA
This is an RNA transcript of Corythoichthys intestinalis (scribbled pipefish), 3369 nucleotides long. It is a transcript of the gene named zinc finger DHHC-type palmitoyltransferase 15b, with no coding region annotated. Lineage: Eukaryota; Metazoa; Chordata; Actinopteri; Syngnathiformes; Syngnathidae. The record is from RefSeq and is a predicted model, not a curated record. The transcript is spliced from 11 exons.